RNAcentral lists this transfer RNA (73 nucleotides) under Microcaldota archaeon. RNAcentral's name for it is "tRNA-Gln". It matches the Rfam family "tRNA". From Rfam's summary of the family: Transfer RNA (tRNA) molecules are approximately 80 nucleotides in length. Their secondary structure includes four short double-helical elements and three loops (D, anti-codon, and T loops). Further hydrogen bonds mediate the characteristic L-shaped molecular structure. tRNAs have two regions of fundamental functional importance: the anti-codon, which is responsible for specific mRNA codon recognition, and the 3' end, to which the tRNAs corresponding amino acid is attached (by aminoacyl-tRNA synthetases). tRNAs cope with the degeneracy of the genetic code in two manners: having more than one tRNA (with a specific anti-codon) for a particular amino acid; and 'wobble' base-pairing, i.e. permitting non-standard base-pairing at the 3rd anti-codon position. The record is from RNAcentral. Lineage: Archaea; Nanobdellati; Microcaldota.
AGUCCCGUCGUAUAGUGGCCAAGUACAAGGGGCUUUGGACCCCUGAACACCAGUUCGAAUCUGGUCGGGACUA